AGUCACUUUCCAUGGGGCUGUGGGGGGGUUUCUUUUCUCCUCAGCCAGGGCUAGAGGCCAAGUAUUGUCAGGGCUGCCAUGAGCUGGGCAGCCUUGUUUUCUUACUUCAGACAUUU
Pipistrellus kuhlii (Kuhl's pipistrelle) is the source of this 116-nucleotide non-coding RNA. The record is from RefSeq and is a predicted model, not a curated record. Lineage: Eukaryota; Metazoa; Chordata; Mammalia; Chiroptera; Vespertilionidae.